AUAUCUGUUUCAUGACUGGGUGAGUGAGAUGUCUCCAAAGGAAUGGCCGUGGUCAGCAUCCCGGACUCAUCAAAGCUAAAUUACCGCUCGAUAAUAUUGCAUUUUGUGCUGCACGGAUGCUCGCGCACACCUGAGCGGACCGGGGCGCUCCGCUGCCUAAUUUCUCCUUUGUGGGAGAGUGGAAGAGAGAGAGAAAGACAAAGAGAAACAUCGAUAUGCAAUCAAGCAACAAGCUGGCGUAAUCCAGGAGUUUAAACAACUGAUGGGCCAACUGAUCCACAAUUUGGGGUCCCUAUUUUUUUGGAGCAAACAAUUAUGUGUGAGGUGCUGGACAUACCAAGAUGAAAACGCAGAACCAAGUUGAGAGUUUCCAGCCCAGUAACCUCCAUCCAGGUACCACCAUGCCCAAUCCCUGUGCAACUUCUACCACACUAAGGCAUUGAUUAAAAAGAGAAAAAUGGCCCUAACCGGUUUGGCUCAAUGGAUAGAGCGUCAGCCUGCGGACUCAAGGGUCCCAGGUUCGAUUCCAGUCAAGGGCAUGUACCUUGGUUGUGGGUACAUCCCCAGUAGGGGGUGUGCAGGAGGCAGCUGAUCGAUGUUUCUAACUCUCUAUCCCUCUC
Long non-coding RNA from Myotis daubentonii (Daubenton's bat), 620 nucleotides. RefSeq lists it as uncharacterized. Lineage: Eukaryota; Metazoa; Chordata; Mammalia; Chiroptera; Vespertilionidae. The record is from RefSeq and is a predicted model, not a curated record.